This 106-nucleotide ribosomal RNA is filed under the name Danio rerio (zebrafish). Lineage: Eukaryota; Metazoa; Chordata; Actinopteri; Cypriniformes; Danionidae. The record is from RNAcentral.
CAAAGCAGCCAUAUCACCCUGCAGCCCAAGACCGGUUACUCACAGGGCUGAGCCUGGUCAGUACUUGGAUGGGAGACCACAAGGGAAAACUCGGUUGCUGUUGGAA